Molecule: long non-coding RNA, 297 nt
Filed under: Lathyrus oleraceus (garden pea)
Lineage: Eukaryota; Viridiplantae; Streptophyta; Magnoliopsida; Fabales; Fabaceae
Description: Pisum sativum (pea) long non-coding RNA (PSAT_LNC020716)
Source: RNAcentral
UUCUUUUCAGUUUCUACCACAACAGAAGAAGGUGAAGAAAGUUCAGAUGUUACCUCAAGAUUUUUUUUAUUUUUUCCCGGGGUUGGUUCUGUGACCUUUCCGGACCUCAAAGAAAUUGCACUGACAUUGGCAUUAGGACCUUUUGGAUUCACAACUGCUUGGGCAGGAAGUUGGUUUGAUCCUUGGGAUUGCAUGGCAUUCAUUGAGGUGGCAAGCUGUCCAAUAUGUGUCUGCAAGGUUUGAAUACUAGAUUUUGUUCUUUGUUGAAACUGAAGAUUAUUAACAGCUAGUUGUUUG